GAAGGCUGAAAGACAUGGGUAGUGGAGAUGUGGCCCUCAAGUGAUCAUCUCACUACCUUGUCUUUCACGCUUUA
Folsomia candida is the source of this 74-nucleotide microRNA precursor. It matches the Rfam family "mir-71 microRNA precursor family". NCBI's taxonomy places the organism in Eukaryota, Metazoa, Arthropoda, Collembola, Entomobryomorpha, Isotomidae. The record is from Rfam.